RNAcentral lists this unclassified non-coding RNA (3095 nucleotides) under Hevea brasiliensis (rubber tree). The record is from RNAcentral. Lineage: Eukaryota; Viridiplantae; Streptophyta; Magnoliopsida; Malpighiales; Euphorbiaceae.
UUUUAACCAAAGCCACUUCUAAAUUUCAUUGAUUGAUCUAUUGAAAUAGAAACAAGAAGCAAGUAGUCCACCAAAAUACAGGAGCUAACUUUCUACGUAAAAAAGUGUACAAAUGGGCAUUAGAGUUUAAGGUCAUAAGCCAAAUAUAUGGUCAUUUGCACCAAAUAUGGCAGCAUUGAAUUGCCGUGUAUUCAAAUCACUCCCAUCCAAUGCAGAACCAAAUCGAUCAAGCCACUGCGUUGGGCUUGGAUUAUCACUUUCCUCUACCCAUUCUGAGGUCAUAUCAAUGUCGUCAAAUUGGAUAGGAUCACUUUCUAAUGAUUUCGUUCUCAUUUGCCUGGUCAACUUGAGAUUAUAGUUUAUAUAAACAAGGUCAUUCAAUGAUUCUUUAUCAAUCUUAUUGCGCUUUUCAGAGUGAAUUUGCUGAAAUGUGUUCCAAUGUCUCUCAAAAGUAAAAGUGCUGCAGACCUGACUCAGGAUUCUGAUGGCAACUCGUUGCAAUACUGGUGCAGAGUCACCAAAUUGUUCCCACCAAAGCCCAGGCGCAACUGUAUCUCGCGCCUCCAUUGCUAAAUUGCAACCAAACAUUCCACUUGCCCUUGUAAAAAUAAAAAUCUGAUUAGUGAUGUCACGUCUCAUUUCAGGAGUAGGAAGCAGUUUCUCAAUAACCUUGAAAAAGUCUUCUUUAAUAGAUACGAGAAAUUUUAUCUCAGGAUUGUACUGGACACUUGGGUUCAAAAAAGCAGCUGCCGAAUGAAGAGGUGAAUGGAGCUGAUCUCGCCACUUUCUGUCCACUAUAUCUAAAAAGGUCUUGCAUUUGCUCUCAUCCAUUAUGUAGUAAGUUCUUAUUGAUUCUUUGGCCCUGGUCAUCAACUCAUAUAUAGACCCCACAGCAGGUUUACCACCAGAUACUUCCCUCAACACUUUGAGAAAGGGCUCAGAGAUGGCCACACUUUCUUCUACUGCUCUCCAGAAAUCUCCAUCCUCAACAAUGGUAAUACAAGCUAUGUUUUGCGGUUUGUUUGCAUAUGCUGAAUUUGUAGAAUACUCAUUGCUGCUGAACAUUAGCUUCAACCUUGAUCUUUGCUUCAACAUUGAUUGCAGUGAUAGAAAAUUGGAUACAGACUUUGUGAUACCAGUCUUGAUUAAGUCCUGCCCUCCAGUAAAUUUCUUCAUCAGAUCAAGCAUUGAGGCAUUAUUGUAUAUAAACUUUGAUAGUGUUUGCGCUUGCAAGAUACAUCUGUUUACCCAAUCAACUUUAGAGAACUCCUCCAAAAUUAAAUUCAGACAUUGAGAAGCACAGGGAGACACAAAAAUUGUUCCAUAAUUCUGCAGUAUAUGGUUGGCAAUACCAGUAUAGUUGAAACUACUAUCCAUAAUUAUCUGCACAACAUUUUCAGCACCGAAGUCUUGAAUAACAGAAUCAAAUAGAUCAGCAAGGCACUUGGUAUUCUUAAAGUAUGAUGAUGCAUCUACAGACUUGUGGAAGAAGGUCCUAGAGGGCGAGGAAACAAAAAAGUUAAUCAAAGCUCUAGAUUUGUUGUCUGUCCAUGUGUCUGCAAUGAUAGUACAACCUGUGGUAGCCCACUCUUUCUCAAUAUCUUUCAAUUGCAAGCUCACUUCAGAUUUGAUCCUUUCCAACCAAGUAGUCUUCAACAUUUCUACUGAAGGGCCUGCAAAUCCUGAACCACAUUUUCCUAUUGCAUCAAUCAUUAGCUGAUAGGAUGGAGAGCGUGCAACACUAAAGUCCAACUUAUUCUCAAAAAAGAAAAGUGCAAUGCUUCUUUCAGCAUUUUCUUGGUUACUUAAAGAGGAAGGGGUCACUGAUGUAACAAUAGGAUAAACUUUAGCAACUGGAGAUGCUGACUCCACACCCAUGAGAGCUUUAGUUGCAGAUAUAUUUCCAGGAGAUUUGGCUUCUGCAGGCUUCUGUUUUUUAGCACUACAUGGUUCUUUGAUGUCCUCCUUUGAUGAUAUUAUAGCCCUUACCCUGUCAGUGACAUCAUCUCUCACCUUGCUGCAUGGAUUUACGCCUUUACUUGGAAGCCUAGAUAGAUGAUGCUUCAAUCUACUAAUGCCACCAUUCAAAACCCUGAGGCAAAAUUUGCACUUCACCUUGUUUCCAUCUAAUUUUUCAGCAUAUUCCCAACAAACAUCUUUUUCUCGAACCAUGACUAUUUAGAUAAUCUUUUGUGGUCCUGAACGUUGACCUAUACAAUGGGUAAAAGAAACACAUUUGUUAGAAAGCUGUAACUGCUGAAGAAGCAUGUAGUGGUGUGCAUGUGCAAGUGAAACAUUUGUUGAUACAAUAUUCCAGAAGUUUACUAAUAAUCAGUUGCAUGUUAUUGGACGAAUCCCACAACCUUACAUCUUAUUUGAUCAUCUUACAAUUUAAAAAAAAAAAUUAAUACAGGUUUUAAUCCACUCUUUCCAUCAUCGGAAACAAAUAUUCCUUGAGAAGCACAAGCACUUAAUUAAAUGUUAGUGCAUAAAUUAGGGCAGAACACCCAGGAAUUUGAACAAAAAAUCAAUGGCUCAUGACAAAAGGUUUGCUUAUUGUAUGCUCAAAUUGUUCUCCAAUAGAUCACAGUUCCAAUCACAGUUAAGUUUGUGUCGAAGGAAAAUAUUUUGGAAAAUACAUUUAUGUCUAGUUUAGCUUUUCACUCAACAAAAUCAAAAUCUACAGUGAACUCGUUUGCGUUGUAGAGCUCAAAAAUUUCACUCAUGUUCUCGGUAAGCAAACAGAGGAUCGAGUGAUAAUCUUCAACACAAGAAUGACACAUCCAUUCAAUUAAGCAUUGAGGUAUGAAAUGGAAAAUACUAAUUAAUAAAUUUUAUCGAAAAAGAAAAACGAAAGAGAAGAGGAAAAGGAGCAAGAAACAAAAAGAAGAGAAUUAGCGAGAAACUUGAGGAGCUUACGGAGAGAGAAGCUUUGGUCUUCUCGACGGAGAGAUAAUCGGAGGUCGCAGAUUUGGGAGUUUCUUUUCUUUAUUUAUCGCGAGAUUUUGGAGCUUCAGGUUUAGGCCAUUAGGGUUUUGUUUUUUCUCCUUCUGUCGUCCUUCCUUAUCCUCUCUUUUCUCGUUUUCAGAUUUUUU